This 466-nucleotide ribosomal RNA is filed under the name uncultured bacterium. RNAcentral describes it as "partial 16S ribosomal RNA". It matches the Rfam family "Bacterial small subunit ribosomal RNA", at positions 28 to 507 of the family's 1533-position model. The record is from RNAcentral.
GACGAACGCUGGCGGCGCGCCUAACACAUGCAAGUCGAACGAGCGAGAGAGAGCUUGCUUUCUUGAGCGAGUGGCGAACGGGUGAGUAACGCGUGAGGAACCUGCCUCAAAGAGGGGGACAACAGUUGGAAACGACUGCUAAUACCGCAUAAGCCCACGGUGCCGCCUGGCACAGAGGGAAAAGGAGCAAUCCGCUUUGAGAUGGCCUCGCGUCCGAUUAGCUAGUUGGUGAGGUAACGGCCCACCAAGGCGACGAUCGGUAGCCGGACUGAGAGGUUGAACGGACACAUUGGGACUGAGACACGGCCCAGACUCCUACGGGAGGCAGGAGUGGGGAAUAUUGCACCAUGGGGGAAACCAUGAUGCAGCGACGCCGGGUGGAGGAAGAAGGUCUUCGGAUUGUAAACUCCUGUUGUUGGGGAAGAUAAUGACGGUACCCAAAAAGGAAGUGACGGCUAACUACGUG